GUGAACGCUGGCGGUAGGCCUAACACCUGCAAGUCGAACGGCAGCACAGUAAGAGCUUGCUCUUACGGGUGGCGAGUGGCGGACGGGUGAGGAAUACAUCGGAAUCUACUUUUUCGUGGGGGAUAACGUAGGGAAACUUACGCUAAUACCGCAUACGACCUACGGGUGAAAGCAGGGGAUCUUCGGACCUUGCGCGAUUGAAUGAGCCGAUGUCGGAUUAGCUAGUUGGCGGGGUAAAGGCCCACCAAGGCGACGAUCCGUAGCUGGUCUGAGAGGAUGAUCAGCCACACUGGAACUGAGACACGGUCCAGACUCCUACGGGAGGCAGCAGUGGGGAAUAUUGGACAAUGGGCGCAAGCCUGAUCCAGCCAUACCGCGUGGGCGAAGAAGGCCUUCGGGUUGUAAAGCCCUUUUGUUGGGAAAGAAAAGCAGCAGGUUAAUACCCCGCUGUUCUGACGGUACCCAAAGAAUAAGCACCGGCUAACUUCGUG
RNAcentral lists this ribosomal RNA (491 nucleotides) under uncultured bacterium. Its description in RNAcentral is "partial 16S ribosomal RNA". It matches the Rfam family "Bacterial small subunit ribosomal RNA", at positions 29 to 507 of the family's 1533-position model. The record is from RNAcentral.